ACUCCUACGGGAGGCAGCAGUGGGGAAUCUUAGACAAUGGGGGAAACCCGUAGCAUCUAGCCAUGCCGCGUGAGCGAUGAAGGCCUUAGGGUUGUAAAGCUCUUUCAGCUGGGAAGAUAAUGACGGUACCAGCAGAAGAAGCCCCGCUACAUCCGUGCCAGCAGCCGCGGUAAUACGGAGGGGCGUAGCGUUGUUCGGAAUUACUGGGCGUAAAGCGCAUGCAGGUGGUUUGUUAAGUCAGAUGUGAAAGCCCGGGCUCAACCUCGGAAUUGCAUUUGAAACUGGCAGACUAGAGUACUGUAGAGGGGGUGAGAAUUUCAGGUGUAGCGGUGAAAUGCGUAGAGAUCUGAAGGAAUACCGGUGGCGAAGGCGGCCCCUGC
This 380-nucleotide ribosomal RNA is filed under the name uncultured bacterium. RNAcentral's name for it is "bacterial SSU rRNA". It matches the Rfam family "Bacterial small subunit ribosomal RNA", at positions 335 to 732 of the family's 1533-position model. The record is from RNAcentral.